RNAcentral lists this ribosomal RNA (891 nucleotides) under uncultured bacterium. RNAcentral describes it as "bacterial SSU rRNA". It matches the Rfam family "Bacterial small subunit ribosomal RNA", at positions 8 to 916 of the family's 1533-position model. The record is from RNAcentral.
AGAGUUUGAUCCUGGCUCAGGACGAACGCUGGCGGCGUGCUUAACACAUGCAAGUCGAGCGGUAAGGCCCUUCGGGGUACACGAGCGGCGAACGGGUGAGUAACACGUGGGUAAACUGCCUGUACUCUGGGAUAAGCUUGGAAACGAGGUCUAAUACUGGAUACGACACUUGAAGGCAUCUUCGAGUGUGGAAAGUUCCGGGCGGUAUGGGAUGGACCCGCGGCCUAUCAGCUUGUUGGUGGGGUAAUGGCCUACCAAGGCGACGACGGGUAGCCGGCCUGAGAGGGUGACCGGCCACACUGGGACUGAGACACGGCCCAGACUCCUACGGGAGGCAGCAGUGGGGAAUAUUGCACAAUGGGCGAAAGCCUGAUGCAGCGACGCCGCGUGAGGGAUGACGGCCUUCGGGUUGUAAACCUCUUUCAGCAGGGACGAAGCGCAAGUGACGGUACCUGCAGAAGAAGCACCGGCUAACUACGUGCCAGCAGCCGCGGUAAUACGUAGGGUGCGAGCGUUGUCCGGAAUUAUUGGGCGUAAAGAGCUCGUAGGCGGUUUGUCGCGUCGGCCGUGAAAACUUGGGGCUUAACUCCAAGCUUGCGGUCGAUACGGGCAGACUUGAGUUCGGCAGGGGAGACUGGAAUUCCUGGUGUAGCGGUGAAAUGCGCAGAUAUCAGGAGAAACACCGGUGGCGAAGGCGGGUCUCUGGGCCGAUACUGACGCUGAGGAGCGAAAGCGUGGGGAGCGAACAGGAUUAGAUACCCUGGUAGUCCACGCCGUAAACGGUGGGUGCUAGGUGUGGGGGGCUUCCACGCCCUCUGUGCCGCAGCUAACGCAUUAAGCACCCCGCCUGGGGAGUACGGCCGCAAGGCUAAAACUCAAAGGAAUUGACGG